RNAcentral lists this ribosomal RNA (459 nucleotides) under uncultured bacterium. Its description in RNAcentral is "partial 16S ribosomal RNA". It matches the Rfam family "Bacterial small subunit ribosomal RNA", at positions 338 to 795 of the family's 1533-position model. The record is from RNAcentral.
CCUACGGGUGGCAGCAGUGAGGAAUAUUGGUCAAUGGGCGGGAGCCUGAACCAGCCAAGCCGCGUGAGGGAAGAAGGUACAGCGUAUCGUAAACCUCUUUUGUCAGGGCACAAAGGCGGGGACUAGUCCCCGGAUGAGGGUACCUGAAGAAAAAGCAUCGGCUAACUCCGUGCCAGCAGCCGCGGUAAUACGGAGGAUGCGAGCGUUAUCCGAUUUUAUUGGGUUUAAAGGGUGCGCAGGCGGCCUGUUAAGUCAGCGGUAAAAGCCCGGGGCUCAACCCCGGCGAGCAUUUGAAUAUGGCGGGCUUGAGUUGGAGAGAAGUACGCGGAAUGCGCGGUGUAGCGGUGAAAUGCUUAGAUAUCACGAAGAACUCCGAUUGCGAAGGCAGCUUACUAAACUGCCACUGACAUUGAUGCUCGAAAGUGUGGGUAUCAAACAGGAUUAGAUACCCGUGUAGUC